Molecule: long non-coding RNA, 178 nt
Organism: Dermochelys coriacea (leatherback sea turtle)
Lineage: Eukaryota; Metazoa; Chordata; Testudines; Dermochelyidae
Exons: 3
Source: RefSeq, a predicted model, not a curated record
AAAAAAAAUUUCCUGAAUCUUUUUGGAUCUUGUCUGUAUUGUUGACAUACUUGUUGAUAGGUAUUUUGAAAUAAAUUACCAAAAUAAUUGAAACUGGAGUGAUUAUAUUGUGUUAUUUUGACAAACAACAGAUGCAGAAUUUUGCAGAAUUUUAAAAUAUUGUAUGCAGAAUUUUUAA